RNAcentral lists this non-coding RNA (88 nucleotides) under Deinococcus deserti. RNAcentral's name for it is "ZTP sequence". It matches the Rfam family "ZMP/ZTP riboswitch aptamer (pfl RNA motif)". Rfam says of the family: Previously known as pfl RNA. ZMP is also known as AICAR. Lineage: Bacteria; Thermotogati; Deinococcota; Deinococci; Deinococcales; Deinococcaceae. The record is from RNAcentral. RNAcentral also lists the same sequence under 1 other name.
UGAGCGGGGGACAACUGGCGCUGAUCGUGGGGCAACCACGGGGGAGUCACCCGAACUUCAAAUUGGAUCGCGCGCCUGGGUCGGAGGG